CUAACUCAAAUGUUUUAAGCAUGUUCACGCAUCAUGAAUACCAUGUAUAUGUAUUAGGCUGUUGCAUUAGAUUUCACGAAGAUGUUGCAUUGCAUAAUUUGCUGUUGAUAUGGAUAGACCAAGGCGACCCAAUAGCCCUAGAUAUGAUAUGUUAAUGAAGUACUGAGGAGCCCCACUGAGGGCCGGGCACUAAUGAAGUCCUGAGGAGCCCCUUCGAGGGCCGGGCACCAUGAUAUGUUACAGAAGUCCUAAGGAGCUCCUUCGAGGGCCGGGCACAGACAGAGGGAGUUUUGGAGGUCAUGUCCAUCCAUGAUGUGAAAUGUUUGUGCUGUGACGCAUUCCAUAAAAGCAUGUUUUAUUAUAAUGUUUAUUGUUCUGCUCACUGGGCUUUUUAGCUCACCCCUUUCCCCUAACCCCCAGGUUUGCAGGUCUGAGGUAGUGCGGAAAGUCGGCAAGGGUUAAUGUUAU
RNAcentral lists this long non-coding RNA (468 nucleotides) under Manihot esculenta (cassava). RNAcentral's name for it is "long non-coding RNA (MESC_LNC004562)". The record is from RNAcentral. Lineage: Eukaryota; Viridiplantae; Streptophyta; Magnoliopsida; Malpighiales; Euphorbiaceae.